ACGGUAUCAUAAGUCACUUCAGAGUCCCAGCAGAAACAUGGCAACAAGGAGCUUUCAUUACUUGCUCAGUUCAAAUCAACUCAGAAGAAAUUCUUACCAGUGAAAAUAUCUCCUAUAGGAGAGAGUCCCAACGUGUCAAUUGCCAUUUAAUGUAUUACUGGAAUUCAUUGAUGAUAAUACUCCCUCUCCUGAUGUUAGCUGCCACAAGUUGGAUUUAUAAGAGAUGUUAUUCAGGUAACUGCGGGAAAGAAUCAUCCACAGAUGCUAGACCACGUAAUCCAGAGCAGCAGACUGUCUAUGCUCAUUUAGCAUUCACUGUAGACUCAACAGUCUGAUGGGACACGCAUUCAUGAAUUGAAGAACACAUCCAAUAGUUUUUAUUUUCUCCCGUUUUGAAGUCAAUAAGAGACUUUAUUCAGUAAUAAUCAAAUGAAUAUUUCCUCCACUCUGUGUUAUGAAUCCCAAAGUCAUAAAGUGGAGGAUGUAUUCAGAAGAAGAAGUGACAUAAUGACGACUGAAGUUCCACUUGAUGAGGAUUGUGUCAUCGCUGCCCUAUGUAACAUAUAUACAUAUGCAUAUGUCAUUACGAAUGAUCAGAGUGGCGAAGGACAUUCCAAAAUAGAAGUAAUACAGCCGCUACUGACGACGGUUUUGUUUCAUAUUAUUGAUAUUCAUCCAGGU
This is a long non-coding RNA of Hemiscyllium ocellatum (epaulette shark), 681 nucleotides long. RefSeq lists it as uncharacterized. NCBI's taxonomy places the organism in Eukaryota, Metazoa, Chordata, Chondrichthyes, Orectolobiformes, Hemiscylliidae. The record is from RefSeq and is a predicted model, not a curated record. The transcript has 4 exons.